Molecule: ribosomal RNA, 253 nt
Filed under: uncultured bacterium
Lineage: Bacteria
Description: partial 16S ribosomal RNA
Rfam family: Bacterial small subunit ribosomal RNA
Source: RNAcentral
UACGUAGGGCGCAAGCGUUGUCCGGAAUUAUUGGGCGUAAAGAGCUCGUAGGCGGUGUGUCGCGUCGGUCGUGAAAACUUGGGGCUUAACCCUGAGCUUGCGGUCGAUACGGGCAAACUGGAGUGUUGCAGGGGAGACUGGAAUUCCUGGUGUAGCGGUGAAAUGCGCAGAUAUCAGGAGGAACACCGGUGGCGAAGGCGGGUCUCUGGGCAACAACUGACGCUGAGGAGCGAAAGCGUGGGGAGCGAACAGG